UUCUUUUUCUCCAGAAGAUGCUCCAGCAUAUCAGGACACUGUGAUCAGCAAGAUGGCAGUUGACACCGUGAGGACCAUAUUGCUAAUCUCCCCAUUUUGCAGAAUACAUGUGUUCUGUGGAGUAUUUUCUGCUCUGAAUCAGGAUGUUUAGGAGUUCAAAUCAAAUGUUCUUACUGAGAGAGUCAGCCAGCUAAUCUCCAUGCCAGGAAAUGAAGCCAUCUGAUGUCCUGAGGUGAAGCUAUAGGAGGCUGUAUGAGUCCAGAACAACUUGAAAUCUGUUUUCUAAAUAAAUCCUCAUUGGUUUGGAGUGUUUAUUUUCUGCCACAAUCAGUAUUGCCUUAUUUUUAUUUUCAGGCAUUAUCAAGGGGACAAAUGCAGAAUCUGCUAUUACAGGUAUGAUUUUACAGUUUUUUAUCUUUCUAAGGCAGUUUGCAAAAAAUCCUGAAUGCUGUCUGAAGGUGAGAGAGUAACACUUCAUACUCGCAAGUUGCAAAUUUGCUACUCUGCCUCUGAAUCUUGUGCAUUGCAAUACUGGAAAUAAAGGUCCUGGAGGCUGAGAGAAGCAUGUACUGUUUGUUUGGCUCUGAGGAUAAACUGCUAUUGGUAAGACAUUAACCUCAAACAAAUGAAAAUUUUCGGCUAGAGAAGUCUUUUAAAAUUUUGUCUUAUUAGCCCAAUAGGUCUCUAUCCUCUGAUCUUUUGGAGAAUGAGGAAACUUCAAAAUAAAACCCCUCUCCUCUUAAUUUUGAAAUUAGUACCUUUGUAAGAUCAGUAUGAGCAUAGGACCUGCUUGCAGAAACAACUUAUGCUUUCCAGUCACUGCCUGAAGGACUUAUAUUCCUCCACUGACUACAGAAGGCUCGACAUUACCUGAGUGUGAAGACAUACACACACACAAAUCUGAUUAAUGCUGGUGCCGAAAAGGAAAGAAGAUCCUCUUCUCAGCUCCCCUGCUGGCUCCAGUUUCCAUGUCAGCUUUCCUUGUGCCAAGUCUGGCGUACAGCACAACCCGCCAUAGACCUUCUCGACUCAGGAGCCCAGGAGAAAACUAAAGCCAUCAGAAAACUGCACACAGCUCUCUGCCAGCUUCAUAAGCUGAACUGGUCCAGUGAAGAGCCCAGUGAGUUUCAGAGUAAGUCCUAUGACACUACACCACAAUAAGAUGAUACAGGUGUAUAAGAGCAGUGAGAUCACCUGCUUGCAGCUUUUCGUAGGAAGCUUGGAUAAUUUUGGAGGAAUUUGGGCAAUUUAAAGAAAUUCCCCCCAUCAUGUGAAGCUGCUUGGAGUUCAACAGGGAAUUUCUGUGCUUAAGACCCAAUUGCUCAGGUUAAAAAUGCCAGGGAAAGAUGCUGAAGUCCCAGGCCAUGGGUCUGUUGGUUUGUAUAAGGCUUGUGCUGGCACAGAGACAAAAAGAACUUAAAUUGUUCAAAGCUCAGUACAAACUGACUUCUGGUGGUACCAGAAUAUCAGAUACCAAUUAAGAGGUCCAGUUAAGGGCCAAGAAGACAGUAAAUGUUCUGCUGACUAGGCAGUCUCCACUACCACUCUCCAAAACCUGCAGGGGACAAGGCAUCUCAGCAAUGAGGGGCACUGCCAGUAAGGUCAGGUCGUCUCUGCCUCACUCUGCACACAGCUUGUGGGAUUGUGUUCAAUGACUACAUGAGUGCCAGUAGCAGCAUUUUGGGGUCUCGACCACCUUUAUCUAGAGAAAUUGGGAGGAUUUAUAGACUAUAAUCUAAAAGGAAAGGAAGACCUCUGUCUUUUUUGCCUUUGAAGUUUACACUCUUUCUUCCCCUUAUUACUAGAAGUUUUUCCAGAGAAGAGAAUGAAUUUCAUCAUCAAUAUACGAGACAGCUGUGUAAAAGAAGAAGUAUUUUUCCAAAGAGGAAGCUCAAGUGUUUCUCCCCAAGGCAAUUAAGGAUCAAAAGAAGGACACAUUGAUUUCUCGAAUAAAAGAAUUUUCAAAUGAGAGUCCCUUACUCUUUGGAGAUUUUUAGAAAAUUAUUUGCAGAUGGCACAUCUCUCCUCGGUGUGACUUCUUCCAGACACAGGGAGCAUUUAGCACGUCCGCAGUUUAGAGGCAAUGCAGCUUGAUCCUUUAUGUUCUGACUUAGUAAAUGAACAUAUUACUGUGAGUACCUCCUGGAUAAAUAACAGCAGUUUCCUUACGAAACGAUCAAAGGAAAUGUUAACAAAACCCUGCCACUGGCACAAUACAAAGUACCCGUUUAUCAACUCUCUGCAAUUAUUUACACAAGAAGGUCCCCCAGAGCCCAAGGAGGCACACGGUGCCAGCUGUGACGCAUAGCCACAUACACCUGGAGCUGAGGGCGAUGAGAGGAGCCAACCUCUGUGUCCCUUGGACACAAACCUACAUGAAUGGUAUUGCUGUUGUUCUGGGAAAGCAGCUCAAUGGAAAAGUCUGUUUCAAGUGCAGUGGUCCAUAUAGAUCAAGCGCAAAAUGCGUGGAUUUGGCAAAAUAUUCAGAGAAGAAAACCUUAAAAAAUGCAGUCAAAAACUUUACAUCCAAACUAUAGCUUCCAGAUGUGUAUCAGAACACCUAGAAAUUAUUACUAAGGUGAAAAUCAUAUUUCUUUAUUUGGCUCCAUGUCCUGUAUUUGUGUGCUGUGUUCUCACCAUGAAUUACGCCAAUAAUUUUGCUCAGUUUAACCAGUGAAAGAUACAUGUGUGAAAAGAUUAAAUAUAUAAUUUUUGAAGUUGGACAUGACCAAGUCCUGUGAAGUGUAAAACUAAGUUUGUCUUAAUAAGAGUUGUUAAAUACUAAUGUUGUCUCAAAGAUGUAUCUUUGCCUCAAAAACUGACUUAUGAAAGGGCACUCUACAAUUUUUGAUAUUUGUGAAUGCAUAUUAAAUGAAUACCAGCAAUGCACACAUGUACACAUGCAGUGGUUGGAGGAGGUCAGUAAAUUACUGUAUGGCAUAAGGAGACAUUUUGCAGCAACAAGUUGAAGAUGACAUGUCUUGAAAAGUGCCUCAUCAUAUUUUGGAAUGCUGGUUCAGUACUAAUGCAAUAGGAGGACUGCCUGCUGAACCAGCAACAAGACCUUCUUUGCAUAGAAACUUGGGGUUUCACACUGAGUCUUCCCUCCUCAUGCUAACUUUCUGUUGUGCAUUUCUGAGAAACAAGGUCGCAGUCUCUGGGGCAGCAUGACAUUCUGUGUAUGCAAUUCAGACUGCUCCAGCAAGAACAUAUGCCAAUACUUUUGGGAAAGGAUAUUUUUUUCAUUUCAGUGUGAAAGCACCUGUGAAAGUACUAGCAUUUGAGGGGCUCAAGAGACUGUUUGGCAAGAGAAUUACAUAGGAAAAAUUAUAUUAUAGCCUCUUGAGAAAAGAAAUUUAUGACAGGUGGGUUAGGUACAAAUAUCUGAACAGUACAUCACUAAAUGAUUAAGAAAACCCUAGCAAUACUGCCUCAGUGGGCAGAAGGAGCAAGAACCCAACUGAAAGCCCAGUAUCAUUAGCAAUAAAGUGCCAACUCAGUUUGUGAAUUCUGAAUCAGGAUGACUUUUGGAAUGAAAGAAGGGUUGUAGCUGGAUAAACAAGGAAAAAAAAGUGUUGGCAGAAAAUUCUUUUCACCAUCAGUAAUGAAUUUGUUGACAGAUAUUAUGUAGAACUGGAUACAGGCAUUGCCUGUACAUGAAUGAUUUAAGCAAAAAUUACAACAUGCACCCUUUCAGAAGAUUAUAUGACAAAAAUAAACAUCUACAGUGCAAACAAAAGCAUCUCUGAGCUCCACAACUUAUCAUAUUUCAAAGGAGUUUUAUACUAAGAAAAUUUACAGUUGAAAAUUUCAUGGGUAUACUCUCAUAGGCUUAGUCUUAACCAAGAAUAACAUAAGCACUGUUUGUAUCUAAAAAAAACAGCUUUAAGUAGCAAAGCAAAAUAAUUAUUAAGCUAGCUUCUCCACCAUGUUAGGCAGUUGCAAAGAUUUAUAGACUAAUUCUGCAGGCUGUUUUUUUUUAAUUUAAAGUACAACUACCAAUUAAAAGGAAGUAUUUCAAUGAAAGAGAAAGUAAUUUGAGAUUAUAUUUGAAAAAACAAUUUGGAGUUUACAGAAAAAGUAACUUUGAAAAAUUACCUGAGGGUUGUAACUAUACACGAUUGUUCUUAUGGGAGCUUACAGUUGGGAAGUGGCUGCCCUAACCUGUUUCUCUCGAAUGCAAAUUCUUCACUGACGUAGUGGAAUGGCGUUGUACAAUGUCCAUGCUGGAAGGGGAUGGGCGGCAGCAGCAAUCUCACAGCUGGCUUUGUAUGCUGAAGGAACAGGAGUCUGGUGACUGUCGAAGCAAAGUUAAAGCCCCUGACUGAUCAAAUGUCCCAUUUGUAUCCAAGGCAGGGGGUAAAGUGCAGAGAUCAGGAAAAACGGAAAUUAUAGUUCCAGUACUGAAGUAACUCUACGGCUGAGGGGAAAUGGGCUGAUCUGUUGUUGCUCUUGUCUAAUUCUGCUGGGCUUGCUAAAUCUGUGGACAAAGUGGAGUGAAGAGACAGGAAAAAGCAAGACAACAUGUCACUUCACCUUUUUAGCUUCUGCUGUUUGUUUCAUCUUUUUUAUUUAACAAAUUAAAUGCAUAAAAGUGGUCCUUCUUGCUCCACUUUUAACCAUCUUCUAUUACAUCUGACAGACACCUGGUUUCAGAAUGGUUUGUUCUUCCAAUCAUACUCUCAUGAGAUGGACAUGAGCUCAUAUGCAUCGUCUUGCACUCCAAGCUUUUGUCUUUGGAGAGUCAGUUCUGAAAAGAAGUUCAUCUUUGAACGUACUUUCCUAUGAUCUCUGUGUGCAUCAGUGGUCACCCCCCCAAUAAAGAGCUGUAGAGGAGGAUCUACUCACUGCUUUAUGUCCGUGAGACUCCUGAGGUCUGGUGGAGCCACAAAAUCUUCAUGAGAUUUAUGAAGGCAUGAGAACCCUACGAGGAAUGGCACUUCAGGCCAAGGGAAUCCUCCCCGGUGUCCAAGGGCCAGAAUUAAGAAUCAAACACAGUAGCCUUGACUACACCGCUCCACAUCUGGACAUACUGGCAUUGGUCCUCAGAAGAGGGGCCUUGCUGGCUUGGCUGGAGCACAAGGUGAUGCUAUAUCCCAGCUUCCCAGCAGAAGAAGGAAUGGUUCUCCUCUAAGCAUGUUUUAUUAACUCAGAACACACGUUUCCAUUUAUUUAAACCAUAUGGAUGCAUUUCAUAUUUUUAUUACUUUUCAUGACUGAGACCACCGUAAAUGCUUGCUAUGCAUCUUUGCAUAUUUUAGUUUCCUGAAGCAAUUUUCUCUUAUGUUAAGUAUAAGCUCCACAAAACACAUUAUUCAUUACAGACCUGGGUUGCCUUAUGUAGUAUGAUGUUUCCUCCGUACAUUUACUUAAAUGUCUUUUGUGAAACAGUCCUACAUAUAGCGAUAUUUUACCUGUAAACUGUUUGAAAUAGAAGCCUUUAUAAUUAAACAUUGAUUAAGGUUUAAA
Pseudopipra pipra is the source of this 5469-nucleotide long non-coding RNA. RefSeq lists it as uncharacterized. The transcript has 3 exons. NCBI's taxonomy places the organism in Eukaryota, Metazoa, Chordata, Aves, Passeriformes, Pipridae. The record is from RefSeq and is a predicted model, not a curated record.